RNAcentral lists this ribosomal RNA (253 nucleotides) under uncultured bacterium. Its description in RNAcentral is "partial 16S ribosomal RNA". It matches the Rfam family "Bacterial small subunit ribosomal RNA", at positions 524 to 776 of the family's 1533-position model. The record is from RNAcentral.
GACGUAGGGCGCGAGCGUUGUCCGGAUUUAUUGGGCGUAAAGAGCUCGUAGGCGGUUUGUCGCGUCGACUGUGAAAACCCACAGCUCAACUGUGGGCUUGCAGUCGAUACGGGCAGGCUAGAGUUCGGUAGGGGAGACUGGAAUUCCUGGUGUAGCGGUGAAAUGCGCAGAUAUCAGGAGGAACACCGGUGGCGAAGGCGGGUCUCUGGGCCGAUACUGACGCUGAGGAGCGAAAGCGUGGGGAGCGAACAGG